Molecule: ribosomal RNA, 468 nt
Filed under: uncultured bacterium
Lineage: Bacteria
Description: partial 16S ribosomal RNA
Rfam family: Bacterial small subunit ribosomal RNA
Source: RNAcentral
GACGAACGCUGGCGGCGUGCUUAACACAUGCAAGUCGAACGGAAAGGCCCUGCUUUUGUGGGGUGCUCGAGUGGCGAACGGGUGAGUAACACGUGAGUAACCUGCCCUUGACUUUGGGAUAACUUCAGGAAACUGGGGCUAAUACCGGAUAGGAGCUCCUGCUGCAUGGUGGGGGUUGGAUAGUUUCGGCGGUUGGGGAUGGACUCGCGGCUUAUCAGCUUGUUGGUGGGGGAGUGGCUUACCAAGGCUUUGACGGGUAGCCGGCCUGAGAGGGUGGCCGGCCACAAUGGGACUAAGAUACGGCCCAGACUCCUACAGGAGGCAACGGUGGGGAAUAUUGCACAGUGAGCGGAAGCCUGAUACAGCGACGCCGCGUGCGGGAUGACGGCCUUCGGGUUGUAAACCGCUUUCGCCUGUGACGAAGCGUGAGUGACGGUAAUGGAUAAAGAAGCACCGGCUAACUACGUG